UACGUAGGUGGCGAGCGUUGUCCGGAAUUACUGGGUGUAAAGCGCGUGUAGGCGGGAGGCCAAGUCUGUGGUGAAAUCGCUCGGCUUAACUGGGCGGGGUCCAUGGAAACUGGUCACCUGGAGGUCGGUAGAGGCAAGUGGAAUUCCCGGUGUAGUGGUGAAAUGCGUAGAUAUCAGGAGGAACACCUGUGGUGUAGACGGCUUUCUGGACCAUAGCUGACGCUGAGACACGAAAGCGUGGGUAGCAAACAGG
RNAcentral lists this ribosomal RNA (253 nucleotides) under uncultured bacterium. Its description in RNAcentral is "partial 16S ribosomal RNA". It matches the Rfam family "Bacterial small subunit ribosomal RNA", at positions 524 to 776 of the family's 1533-position model. The record is from RNAcentral.